RNAcentral lists this ribosomal RNA (407 nucleotides) under uncultured Glomus. RNAcentral describes it as "SSU rRNA". It matches the Rfam family "Eukaryotic small subunit ribosomal RNA", at positions 569 to 985 of the family's 1831-position model. Lineage: Eukaryota; Fungi; Glomeromycota; Glomeromycetes; Glomerales; Glomeraceae. The record is from RNAcentral.
AGUAGUCGCGGUAAUUCCAGCUCCAAUAGCGUAUAUUAAAGUUGUUGCAGUUAAAAAGCCCGUAGUUGAAUUUCGGGAUCAAUACGUCGGUCGUGCCUCUGGUAUGUACUGGUGUUAUUGAUUUCUCCCUUCUGAUGAACCAUGAUGUCAUUAAUUUGGUGUUGUGGGGAGCCAGGACUGUUACUUUGAAAAAUUGAGUGUUUAAAGCAGGCCUACGCUUGAAUCAUUAGCAUGGAAUAAUGAAAUAGGACGUUCGAACCUAUUUUGUUGGUUUCUAGGAUCAACGUAAUGAUUAAUAGGGAUAGUUGGGGCAUUAGUAUUCAAUUGUCAGAGGUGAAAUUCUUGGAUUUAUUGAAGACUAACUACUGCGAAAGCAUUUGCCAAGGAUGUUUCAUUAAUCAAGAACG